Stegostoma tigrinum is the source of this 522-nucleotide long non-coding RNA. RefSeq lists it as uncharacterized. The transcript is spliced from 4 exons. NCBI's taxonomy places the organism in Eukaryota, Metazoa, Chordata, Chondrichthyes, Orectolobiformes, Stegostomatidae. The record is from RefSeq and is a predicted model, not a curated record.
AUUUAUCUUGUGAUCAGCAGCAGCUGAUUAGAACCGCAGCACAAUUUGUGGGAUGUUAUGGUCUGAGCAAUUCAAUCGGCUGAAUACAGGCGAGACAGCUGUCCCAGGCUUCUACUAUGUCUCUGGUGAUGGGCUGUUCCUGGCUGGCAUCAUUUGACCUGGUGCACAGCUGAGCUUUAAAGAGUGGUAGUGGUGGAAUGAAUCUCAGCAAUGGUUCAGUUGCAUAAAAGCCAAGAGCUUUCUGGACCUCAGCAAAGUGACCAUUCUUCAUGUGAGAGUUAGAUCAAUGAAUGUGGACGUUGAAACCCAGCUCAUCUCAUGACCAGUGUCCCUGGCCUGCUAUUCUCUCCUUUGGUCUGACGACAGCAAUUUUAACGAUUAUUCUUGAACUUUUAAAUUCACUUGUUAGAGACUCACUUCCUUUAUCAUUUAACUGUCCUCAAUGUUGUUUUAAUUAUUACUGGUGUUAUUCCCUAGAGUAGGUAUUUACAAUUUUGUUAUCAAUAAUGUUUAGCACACAUA